GUGGGUAUAGCUCAGCUGGUUAGAGCACCAGAUUGUGGUCCUGGGGGUCGUCGGUUCGAAACCGACUACCCACCCCA
This 77-nucleotide transfer RNA is filed under the name Oscillospiraceae bacterium. RNAcentral's name for it is "tRNA-His". It matches the Rfam family "tRNA". Rfam says of the family: Transfer RNA (tRNA) molecules are approximately 80 nucleotides in length. Their secondary structure includes four short double-helical elements and three loops (D, anti-codon, and T loops). Lineage: Bacteria; Bacillati; Bacillota; Clostridia; Eubacteriales; Oscillospiraceae. The record is from RNAcentral.